This 253-nucleotide ribosomal RNA is filed under the name uncultured bacterium. RNAcentral describes it as "partial 16S ribosomal RNA". It matches the Rfam family "Bacterial small subunit ribosomal RNA", at positions 524 to 776 of the family's 1533-position model. The record is from RNAcentral.
UACAGAGGGUGCGAGCGUUGUUCGGAAUUACUGGGCGUAAAGGGCGCGUAGGCGGACAGUUUAGUCAGAGGUGAAAGCCCAGGGCCCAACCCUGGAAUUGCCUUUGAUACUGGCUGUCUUGAGUACGGGAGAGGUGUGUGGAACUCCGAGUGUAGAGGUGAAAUUCGUAGAUAUUCGGAAGAACACCAGUGGCGAAGGCGGCGCCCUGGUCCGUUACUGACGCUGAGAUGCGAAAGCGCGGGGAGCGAACGGG